UACGGAAGGCAGCAGUGGGGAAUAUUGCACAAUGGGCGCAAGCCUGAUGCAGCCAUGCCGCGUGUAUGAAGAAGGCCUUCGGGUUGUAAAGUACUUUCAGUCGUGAGGAAGGUGUUAAGGUUAAUAACCUUAGCAAUUGACGUUAGCGACAGAAGAAGCACCGGCUAACUCCGUGCCAGCAGCCGCGGUAAUACGGAGGGUGCGAGCGUUAAUCGGAAUUACUGGGCGUAAAGGGCACGCAGGCGGUUAAUUAAGUUGGAUGUGAAAUCCCCGGGCUUAACCUGGGAAUGGCAUUCAAGACUGGUUAGCUAGAGUCUUGUAGAGGGGGUAGAAUUCCGAUGUGUAGCGGUGAAAUGCGUAGAGAUGUGGAGGAAUACCGGUGGCGAAGGCGGCCCCUGGACAAAGGCUGACGCUCAUGUGCGAAAGCGUGGGGAGCAAACGAGGAUUAGAUACC
This 454-nucleotide ribosomal RNA is filed under the name uncultured bacterium. RNAcentral describes it as "bacterial SSU rRNA". It matches the Rfam family "Bacterial small subunit ribosomal RNA", at positions 340 to 786 of the family's 1533-position model. The record is from RNAcentral.